CACCCAGGUAAACCCCAAAUCCUGGACUGGUAGGGGGUCCCGAGGACUAACGUUGAGAACCCCUGCUUUAGAUACUCCUGCCAUUACGAGGUUUAUGAAAUAACGGUACAGAGUUAUUCACGAAGCAGUAAGCGUGUGGCAUUUUAGGGUAAAAUAGGCCAUGCAUAGUUGUACGGCUGUCAGUGCGUUGUCCUCCGUAAUGCACAGUGUCAUCACAUUUAAUUAGUUAGUUUUAAUGCAAUGUAGAUUAUCUGUCUGAGCGGGCAUGUUGGUUCCUGUGACAGACCCAUCUGUAUGGACUAAAAGCACUGUGUUCGUCUGUUUUGCCGUUUGCAUGAAUUCCCCCAUUCGUAUGCUUUGUUUAAGGGAAUGUCUUUUUUUUGUCGAACGGAACUACCGAACGGACGGCCACCCAGAAGAGAAGUGUGCUGCUGGUUAACCUAUUGAUCCCAAUUAGAACGUUGCGGUUAACCACAGACACUUCUCAAUUAAAACCGAAUACCGGGUGGUCGUCGUUCGUAUGUCG
Pelobates cultripes (western spadefoot toad) is the source of this 526-nucleotide non-coding RNA. The record is from the annotation of a GenBank genome assembly. Lineage: Eukaryota; Metazoa; Chordata; Amphibia; Anura; Pelobatidae.